This 270-nucleotide ribosomal RNA is filed under the name uncultured bacterium. RNAcentral's name for it is "partial 16S ribosomal RNA". It matches the Rfam family "Bacterial small subunit ribosomal RNA", at positions 29 to 290 of the family's 1533-position model. The record is from RNAcentral.
AACGAACGCUGGCGGCGUGCUUAACACAUGCAAGUCGCGUGCGCAGUUGCCGUAGCAAUACGGUGAUGGGCGCACGGCGCACGGGUGCGUAACACGUGGGCAAUCUGCCCUUUGAUGGGGAAUAACCCGCCGAAAGGCGGGCUAAUUCCGCAUAAGAUUCUUUGGACUUCGGUCUGGAGAUUGAAAGCAGCAAUGCGUCGAAGGAGGAGCCCGCGCCCGAUUAGCUAGUUGGUGAGGUAACGGCUCACCAAGGCUAUGAUCGGUAGCUGG